Molecule: ribosomal RNA, 253 nt
Filed under: uncultured bacterium
Lineage: Bacteria
Description: partial 16S ribosomal RNA
Rfam family: Bacterial small subunit ribosomal RNA
Source: RNAcentral
UACGUAGGGGGCAAGCGUUGUCCGGAAUCAUUGGGCGUAAAGAGCGUGUAGGCGGCCCUGUAAGUCCGUUGUGAAAGUCGAGGGCUCAACCCUGGAAUGCCGGUGGAAACUGUCGGGCUGGAGUCCGGAAGAGGCGAGUGGAAUUCCUGGUGUAGCGGUGAAAUGCGCAGAUAUCAGGAGGAACACCAAUGGCGAAGGCAGCUCGCUGGGACGGUACUGACGCUGAGACGCGAAAGCGUGGGGAGCAAACAGG